RNAcentral lists this ribosomal RNA (253 nucleotides) under uncultured bacterium. RNAcentral describes it as "partial small subunit ribosomal RNA". It matches the Rfam family "Bacterial small subunit ribosomal RNA", at positions 26 to 285 of the family's 1533-position model. The record is from RNAcentral.
AGGAUGAACGCUAGCGGCAGGCCUAAUACAUGCAAGUCGAACGGUGGGUAGCAAUACUCAUAGUGGCGCACGGGUGCGUAACACGUAACUAACCUACCUAUACCUGGGGGAUAGCCCGCCGAAAGGCGGAUUAAUACCGCAUAAGGCUUGGAACUGGCAUCAGUUUUUAGUUAAAAGAUUUAUUGGGUAUAGAUGGGGUUGCGGGUCAUUAGCUAGUUGGUAGGGUAACGGCUUACCAAGGCGACGAUGACUA